UCACGUGCAGCACAAGAGUUUAGUUUAGUUUAGAGAUACAGCACGGAAACAGGCCCUUCGCCCCUCCGGGUCAGUGCCGACCAUCGAUACCCGUACACUAACACUAUCCUACACACUAGGGACAAUUUACAAUUUUUACCAAAGACAAUCAACCUACAAACAUGUG
This is a long non-coding RNA of Amblyraja radiata (thorny skate), 166 nucleotides long. RefSeq lists it as uncharacterized. The transcript is spliced from 3 exons. Lineage: Eukaryota; Metazoa; Chordata; Chondrichthyes; Rajiformes; Rajidae. The record is from RefSeq and is a predicted model, not a curated record.